UGGCGAACGGGUGAGUAACACGUGGGUGAUCUGCCUCGUACUCUGGGAUAAGCCUGGGAAACUGGGUCUAAUACCGGAUAGGACCACUGGUCGCAUGGUUGGUGGUGGAAAGUUUUUCGGUACGAGAUGGGCCCGCGGCCUAUCAGCUUGUUGGUGGGGUAAUGGCCUACCAAGGCGACGACGGGUAGCCGGCCUGAGAGGGCGACCGGCCACACUGGGACUGAGACACGGCCCAGACUCCUACGGGAGGCAGCAGUGGGGAAUAUUGCACAAUGGGCGCAAGCCUGAUGCAGCGACGCCGCGUGAGGGAUGACGGCCUUCGGGUUGUAAACCUCUUUCACCAGGGGCGAAUUAGGACGGUACCUGGAGAAGAAGCACCGGCCAACAACGUGCCAGCAGCCGCGGUAAUACGUAGGGUGCGAGCGUUGUCCGGAAUUACUGGGCGUAAAGAGCUCGUAGGCGGUUUGUCGCGUCGUUCGUGAAAACUUGAUGCUUAACAUCAAGCGUGCGGGCGAUACGGGCAGACUUGAGUACUACAGGGGAGACUGGAAUUCCUGGUGUAGCGGUGAAAUGCGCAGAUAUCAGGAGGAACACCGGUGGCGAAGGCGGGUCUCUGGGUAGUAACUGACGCUGAGGAGCGAAAGCGUGGGUAGCGAACAGGAUUAGAUACCCUGGUAGUCCACGCCGUAAACGGUGGGUACU
This 702-nucleotide ribosomal RNA is filed under the name uncultured bacterium. RNAcentral describes it as "bacterial SSU rRNA". It matches the Rfam family "Bacterial small subunit ribosomal RNA", at positions 96 to 817 of the family's 1533-position model. The record is from RNAcentral.